Molecule: ribosomal RNA, 468 nt
Filed under: uncultured bacterium
Lineage: Bacteria
Description: partial 16S ribosomal RNA
Rfam family: Bacterial small subunit ribosomal RNA
Source: RNAcentral
GACGAACGCUGGCGGCGUGCUUAACACAUGCAAGUCGAACGGAAAGGCCCUGCUUUUGUGGGGUGCUCGAGUGGCGAACGGGUGAGUAACACGUGAGUAACCUGCCCUUGACUUUGGGAUAACUUCAGGAAACAGGGGCUAAUACCGGAUAGGAGCUCCUGAUGCAUGGUGGGGGUUGGAAAGUUUCGGCGGUUGGGGAUGGACUCGCGGCUUAUCAGCUUGAUGGUGGGGUAGUGGCUUACCAAGGCUUUGACGGGUAGCCGGCCUGAGAGGGUGACCGGCCACAUUGGGACUGAGAUACGGCCCAGACUCCUACGGGCGGCAGCAGUGGGGAAUAUUGCACAGUGGGCGGAAGCCUGAUGCAGCAACGCCGCGUGCGGGAUGACGGCCUUCGGGUUGUAAACCACUUUCGCCUGUGACGAAGCGUGAGUGACGGUAAUGGGUAAAGAAGCACCGGCUAACUACGUG